CGCGCAGGCGGUUUGAAUAGUCAGAUGUGAAAGCCCACGGCUUAACCGUGGAAGUGCAUUUGAAACUGUCAGACUUGAGUACCAGAGGGGAAAGUGGAAUUCCCGGUGUAGAGGUGAAAUUCGUAGAUAUCGGGAGGAAUACCGGUGGCAAAGGCGACUUUCUGGCUGGAUACUGACGCUGAGGCGCGAAAGCGUGGGGAGCAAACA
Molecule: ribosomal RNA, 207 nt
Filed under: uncultured Desulfobulbus sp.
Lineage: Bacteria; Pseudomonadati; Thermodesulfobacteriota; Desulfobulbia; Desulfobulbales; Desulfobulbaceae
Description: partial 16S ribosomal RNA
Rfam family: Bacterial small subunit ribosomal RNA
Source: RNAcentral